This 232-nucleotide unclassified non-coding RNA is filed under the name Peponidium cystiporon. RNAcentral's name for it is "partial miscellaneous RNA". The record is from RNAcentral. Lineage: Eukaryota; Viridiplantae; Streptophyta; Magnoliopsida; Gentianales; Rubiaceae.
AGGACAUAACGUAUGGAUGCCUUGCCUUAAAGCUGCACGUUGCUCGCAGCAAGAGGGACACGGCAGGGAGAGACCCGCGCCGCGCCCCACUUGGAGCUUCCGCCCAAGCACAAGGCUCAGCGAUCGGCGCACGAGCCAGGAGCUUGAAAACGAACUCGAGAGCCUACGCCUUAUGAGCCUCCCGUCCUCUAGCAGCCAGAGGCAAUCGGGCUUUAGCCGCAAUUAGCGAGCG